GACGUGGGGGGCCAGCGUUGCUCGGAAUUACUGGGUGUAAAGGGUUCGUAGGCGGUGUAGCAAGUCGGGAGUGAAAUCUAUGGGCUCAACUCAUAGUCUGCAUCGGAAACUGCCGGGCUCGAGUGUGGGAGAGGUGAGUGGAAUUUCCGGUGUAGCGGUGAAAUGCGUAGAUAUCGGAAGGAACACCUGUGGCGAAAGCGGCUCACUGGACCACAACUGACGCUGAUGCACGAAAGCUAGGGGAGCAAACAG
RNAcentral lists this ribosomal RNA (252 nucleotides) under uncultured bacterium. RNAcentral's name for it is "partial 16S ribosomal RNA". It matches the Rfam family "Bacterial small subunit ribosomal RNA", at positions 524 to 775 of the family's 1533-position model. The record is from RNAcentral.